RNAcentral lists this ribosomal RNA (705 nucleotides) under Triticum aestivum (bread wheat). RNAcentral describes it as "partial small subunit ribosomal RNA". The record is from RNAcentral. Lineage: Eukaryota; Viridiplantae; Streptophyta; Magnoliopsida; Poales; Poaceae.
AUGGACGUACCACCUUAUUUUGAGAGGACCGAUGGAUCGACAGGCGCUCAAGUCAGCAAGAUCGCACCACAGCUUUACGCCUGCAUCUCGAAACGCUGCCGGAAACUGAGGACCGUCUCUGAUGGGCUUCAGGCUAACGCUUGGGCUCACGACAUCCAUGGCACGCCGGGUGUUCACGAUAUCGGCCAGUACAUCCAGCUCUGGCACGCCGUUGGGCAAACCAUCCUGACCACGGAACCCGAUCGCCUCCUAUGGAAGUGGACUGCGAGCAGAUCUUACUCUGCGAAAUCCUGCCAUCAGGCCACAUUCGAGGGUUCUCUGCAAAAUCCUGCUACCAGACCACACAUUCCAGGCAGCUCCUGGAAGUUCAUUUGGAAGAACGGGGCGCCCCCUCGGGUGCGCUUCUUCCACUGGCUCGCUGAUCAGCACCAGUGUUGGACUGCUGAGAGCCUCGCACGCUGCGGCCUUCAGCACCACACUUCAUGCCUCCUCUGCUGCCAGAGCACCAAGACGAUGCACCACCUGCUGCUGUGCUGUCCGUUUCCCAAACAGGUUGGCAGCAGAUGCUUCCCGGGCUCUGCAUGUCUUGCACGCCGCCAGACCAUGAUACUUCCCUUCUGGACUGGUAGCACGCUGCAAAACAGCGCACCCCGCAUCCCAUGCGCAAGGGCCUCGCCUCCAUUGCCUUGCUCACACCAUGGAUGA